Molecule: ribosomal RNA, 497 nt
Filed under: uncultured bacterium
Lineage: Bacteria
Description: partial 16S ribosomal RNA
Rfam family: Bacterial small subunit ribosomal RNA
Source: RNAcentral
GAUGAACGCUGGCGGCGUGCCUAAUACAUGCAAGUCGAGCGAACGGACGAGAAGCUUGCUUCUCUGAUGUUAGCGGCGGACGGGUGAGUAACACGUGGAUAACCUACCUAUAAGACUGGGAUAACUUCGGGAAACCGGAGCUAAUACCGGAUAAUAUUUUGAACCGCAUGGUUCAAGAGUGAAAGACGGUCUUGCUGUCACUUAUAGAUGGAUCCGCGCUGCAUUAGCUAGUUGGUAAGGCAACGGCUUACCAAGGCAACGAUGCAUAGCCGACCUGAGAGGGUGAUCGGCCACACUGGAACUGAGACACGGUCCAGACUCCUACGGGAGGCAGCAGUAGGGAAUCUUCCGCAAUGGGCGAAAGCCUGACGGAGCAACGCCGCGUGAGUGAUGAAGGUCUUCGGAUCGUAAAACUCUGUUAUUAGGGAAGAACAUAUGUGUAAGUAACUGUGCACAUCUUGACGGUACCUAAUCAGAAAGCCACGGCUAACUACGUG